ACCCAGACUCCUACGGGAGGCAGCAGUGGGGAAUAUUGCACAAUGGGGGGAACCCUGAUGCAGCGACGCCGCGUGGGCGAGGAAGUAUUUCGGUAUGUAAAGCCCUAUCGGCAGGGAAGAAGAAAUGACGGUACCUGAAUAAGAAGCACCGGCUAAAUACGUGCCAGCAGCCGCGGUAAUACGGAGGGGGCGGGCGUUAAUCGGAAUUACUGGGCGUAAAGCGCUCGUAGGCGGUAUGUCAAGUCAAGGGGGAAAUCCCCGCGCUCAACGUGGGAACUGCCUUUGAAACUGGCAAACUGGAGUGUGUGAGAGGAUAGUGGAAUUCCAGGUGUAGGAGUGAAAUCCGUAGAUAUCUGGAGGAACAUCAGUGGCGAAGGCGACUAUCUGGCACAUAACUGACGCUGAGGAGCGAAAGCGUGGGUAGCAAACAGGAUUAGAUACCCGUGUA
RNAcentral lists this ribosomal RNA (448 nucleotides) under uncultured bacterium. Its description in RNAcentral is "bacterial SSU rRNA". It matches the Rfam family "Bacterial small subunit ribosomal RNA", at positions 329 to 792 of the family's 1533-position model. The record is from RNAcentral.